AACUUUUGGCAAUGGAUCACUUGGUUCCUGCAUCGAUGAAGAACGCAGCGAAAUGCGAUAAGUAAUGUGAAUUGCAGAAUUCAGUGAAUCAUCGAAUCUUUGAACGCACAUUGCGCCCUUUGGCAUUCCGAAGGGCAUGCCUGUUCGAGCGUCAUGAACAACCUCAAGCCUAGCUUGGUAUUGGGUUUUCGUCUUCACCGCUCCGUCUCUGUUGGGGUAGUGACGUGCCUGAAAGUCAAUGGCGUUGACUCAAUACACUCAAGCGUAGCAGACCAACUCUCGCUUUGGAGAACUUUUGUGGGUCCUGCCAAACAAAACAAUCAAAGUUGGACCUAGGAUCAGGUAGGGAUACCCGCUGAUCCUAAGCAUAUCAAUAAGCGGAGGCU
This 386-nucleotide unclassified non-coding RNA is filed under the name uncultured Geoglossum. Its description in RNAcentral is "sequence contains ITS2". The stretch from base 1 to 154 matches the Rfam family "5.8S ribosomal RNA". Lineage: Eukaryota; Fungi; Ascomycota; Geoglossomycetes; Geoglossales; Geoglossaceae. The record is from RNAcentral.